CGCCACAAUCAGUCGCUAACUAGAACAAGCCGCCCCCUCGUGUCUCCUCUUUAAAAACAGCGCAAAGAGCCGUCCACCAAUAGCAGACGUCCUCCCGACUAGCAACAGGCGCCACAGCCAAUCAAGAAGGCACAGUAGACGUCCAAUCACAAUCUCUGAAAGGAGAAACAGGAAGUGCAAUCAGACCGCUGGAGCUUGUUGUUUAGGUAGUCUGUUAAACGGGCUUCUAUUGGUUGAAAUCUUGAUAGACAUCGUUACCAUUUUUUUUUUAGUUGCGCGGUUUCAAGUCGUAUGACUGCGCAUGCGCAUUGCGCCAUCGUGUGUCUAAGUAAUUUUUGCUGUCAGGGCGCUGCUCUGCAUGUGAUGUCUGUGCAUUUCGAUGAGAGGAGCGGGGUGGUGCCAUGCAAGACUCCCUGGGGUUGCUGGUACCAGACCAUGGAGGAGGUGUUCAUUGAAGUCCAGGUGCCCCCUGGUACACAGAGCCGAGAUAUCCGCUGUAAGCUGGGCAUCAGGGAGAUAGCACUGAAUGUGCGGGACACACACAUCCUACAGGGACGGCUGUAUGAUUCCACGAUAAGCGAUGAAAGCACUUGGACAUUAGG
Bufo gargarizans (Asiatic toad) is the source of this 602-nucleotide long non-coding RNA. RefSeq lists it as uncharacterized. NCBI's taxonomy places the organism in Eukaryota, Metazoa, Chordata, Amphibia, Anura, Bufonidae. The record is from RefSeq and is a predicted model, not a curated record. The transcript has 2 exons.